AAAAACGAAAAAAAAAAAAAAACCCGGAAAAGUCGUGGCAUUUGAACAUGUUAUUUUCCAGGCUUGGAAAAGUCUUGUUAAAAAAAGCCUUUAAAAAAACAACGUUGUUUUCAUUCGGUCACGUGUGACAUGCGUAGAAAGGUGCAGGUUAGCUCAAGCGACAACGCGCUAACAACAGCACACAACAAUGCCGGGAAAGUUCUCCCUUAACUAUGUGUGGCUGCACACAAAGUUGUACGUUUAAAUCAUGACUAGAGAAGAAAAAGUCAAAUCCAAAUGUGUUGUAUGUUAUAACACGUUUGAUAUCUCUAAAAUCGAUGAGGCGGCAUUGACUAGCCGUGCUAAAGGAGCGAAGCACCGGGCUAUCGCGAGCUUUUUACGAUCCCAUAAGAACCCCUCAGGCGGCCUCUGGUACCGGCAGUUUGCAGCACCAAUAUCGCCACACCGUCCAUGAAACAACGGACUAUUUCAAACGUUCUCACCGGCAGUGAAGUGCUAACUCCGGAAAUUUUAUGGGAGCUAAAGUGAAUUUUCUCCCUUUAUCAAUCACAUACUUUGAAACUACUGUUUUCCUGAGUCACGCCUGGUUCUCUGGAAGCUCACAGUCACCAUGAGGAGACCUGUUACCUGGCAACACUCCAUGCUCCAGGUGUAACUUUUGUGAAGCAGCUGGUCCCAGGUGAACCAAGUGAAUGCUGCCUAGUUUAAAAAAAAAAUAUAUAUAUAUAUAUACUGUAUAUUGCUGCAGAGGAAAAAUGUGUGUGUAUACUUGAGGCAAAAAAAAAAAGUCAUUAGGGUUGGAGGGUUGGGGCUUGUGGAGCAAUAGGGUUUAGGAGAGGAAAUCACCCACAGCCAAUUUUCGUCAUCACACCUUCACACCCAGUUGAUCAGCGUUGAAAUAAUAAGCACAAUACUCUUACGUAUAAGCGAAAAAGUUAAUGCACUACACCUUUUCGAGGCAGCAGGUGUUCAUUUGCGAGUUUUUUGAAAUGUGUGUGCACAGGAUUUACAGUGGUGUAAAUCCAAUCACAAUAUGCUGCUGCUUUGUAGCACUGCACACUCAAGUUGAUUUUUAAACAAAAGUCACUGAUUUGUAUUCAAAGUCUGUGGUAACAUUUUAUCAGUGUUGCUGAGAUUUUUUCACUUAGUCAUGAGUGUUACUUGGUAAUUUCAGGGAUCAGAAACCACAGAGGCUGAUGAGGAGGGAUUUAAUUUAAUUUUUGUUUUAAUGUUAAUCAUCUUUAACAAACGGUAAUCACCCCCUUUAAUUUGUCUGUUGUCUAAUACUUCAGAUAUUAUGAAUUGUUUUAUGUUUAACUUAUAAAUAUGCCUUAAAAAUUAACUUUAUUACCAAAAAAUCUAAAACUAUGGGAUUAAGGUUGUUUGAACACUGUUUGAGACAUUUUCUUGUGCUACUGUCUUUAUUCUUGUUACUUAACUUUAUUCUCACAAAGUUCUAACUGUAUGACUAUAAUGUCAUGAUUUUUACAACCUUAAUCUGGCAAUUUCUGAUAUUUGUUUUAUUGUAAAACUGAAGAAAAAA
Molecule: long non-coding RNA, 1543 nt
Organism: Cynoglossus semilaevis (tongue sole)
Lineage: Eukaryota; Metazoa; Chordata; Actinopteri; Pleuronectiformes; Cynoglossidae
Exons: 3
Source: RefSeq, a predicted model, not a curated record